RNAcentral lists this ribosomal RNA (468 nucleotides) under uncultured bacterium. Its description in RNAcentral is "partial 16S ribosomal RNA". It matches the Rfam family "Bacterial small subunit ribosomal RNA", at positions 28 to 507 of the family's 1533-position model. The record is from RNAcentral.
GACGAACGCUGGCGGCGUGCUUAACACAUGCAAGUCGAACGGAAAGGCCAUGCUUUUGUGGGGUGCUCGAGUGGCGAACGCGUGAGUAACACGUGAGUAACCUGCCCUUGUCUUUGGGAUAACUUCAGGGAACUGGGGCUAAUACCGCAUAGGAGCUCUUGAAGCAUAGGGGGGGUUGGUAAGUUUCGGCGGUUGGGGAUGGACUCGCGGGUUAUCAGCCUGUUGGUGGGGUUGGGGCUUACCAAGGUUUUGACGGGUAGCCGGCCUGAGCGGGGGGACGGCCACAUUGGGACUGAGGUACGGACCAGACUCCUACGGGAGGCAGCAGGGGGGAACAUGGCACAAUGGGCGGAAGCGUGAUGCAGCAACGCCGCGUGCGUGAUGACGGCCUUCGGGUUGUAAACCACUUUCGCCUGUGACGAAGCGUGAGUGACGGUAAUGGGUAAAGAAGCACCGGCUAACUACGUG